CGCGUGGGAGAGAACCCAGCCCUUGGGUCGCCGAAGGAGCAAACGCCCGUAAUCUCUCAGGCAAAAGGACCGCGC
Molecule: non-coding RNA, 75 nt
Filed under: marine eukaryotic metagenome
Description: Glycine riboswitch
Rfam family: Glycine riboswitch aptamer
About the family: This family represents the bacterial glycine riboswitch. Glycine riboswitches usually consist of two metabolite-binding aptamers domains with similar structures in tandem.
Source: RNAcentral